GGAGAGGUGACCCAGUGACUGAAGGCAGUAGGACUCAACCUGAGAGGGGAGGAUAUUGUUCAACAUGAAAAUGAAAGAACUGUUUGUGCAAAAGUAUUUUUAGAUCCUUGAAUUCCUGCCAGCUGAAGGGGCACCAAGUGAAUCUCUAUCAUUCUAUCAUUAUAACAAAUAAUGUCACGGUUUUCUGCAAUGAAUAAUUAUUUUUGGAUAUUCCUUCUUGCUUCCCAACUGCAUAAAGCCAAGGAUGAGUUCAGAUUGAUGUUUUAUAGAAUUAUCUCUUUAUUUUUGACAACAUUAGAUUCCAAGAAAAACGUUUUCAAAAAAAAAAAAAAACGUGACCAUAAAUGAGAUCUACAUUAUAAAGAGCUAUACAAUUAAAUCAUUUAUGUCAACAAAAGAUAGAAAUUUAAACUGAAUAUGGUUAACUUAUGGAUCUCUCUUUCUCUAACAGGAAGCGGUGAAGCUAACCAAAAGAUUUUGGCCAAAAGCAUUACUCCAAAGGAAUAUGGACAAGAAGAAUGAGAUUGUUAAACAUGGGACAGCUCACUCUGUGAAUGGAACUGAGGUGGAGGACAGUGCUGCUGUUUUCAAUGGACAGCUUUACAGAAAGUCACCUUUCCUGCUCCAGAGAUGUCACAGAGCAUCCAGCGUUAUGGAUCUAACAGAAGUGCAAUCUUAUGAACUCCUCAGACUGGAGGAUAUUUGUCACACUAAACACUCGAUUUCAUUUGAACUACAAAUUCCGUCAACGUGGGUUCAUGGAAGAGUAACAGAUGCUGAGAGAAAGCUAGACUGGUGGCCUCCUCUUGCAGUUUGCAGCCGUUGAUUGGCUACUUUCACACUUUUGACUUUGAGCUUAUUGUUCAGCCAACAGAAAAUAUGACUAAUGUGGACAUAGAAGUCAGUAUUUGGAGCUGAAUGUGGAGCUCAAGUUGAAACUGGAAACGUGGAGAACUGGAUUUCUACACUGGGAUGAUAAUUGGAAACUGAAGAGAGCAGCUCAAGCCUCAAUGCCAAACAUUACUGUUAUCCUAAAAUGUCUGAAAAUCUAACAUUAGCUAACACUGGAGUAGCCAUACACUGAUCAUACUACACUGACUUUAGAGAAGUGCUCUACCAUGUACUGUAGCUAAAUGUACUGGAAAAUAUCGAUAACCUGCUCAUUUUGUACUACUGCCAGAUCAAAAUGGAAUGGAAUAACAACUAAAUGCCUGCUUAGAUAACACGCUAUGAAUAUCCACAUUAAAGCAAGUCUUAAAAGACCUGGCUUUUAGAGAUUGCUGUGAGCCAGUUAUAGCCAACACUGUAUUGUAUAAAUGCUUUUAGAAAAUGAUUCCCAGGGGAAAAAGAAAAACUUUAUUUCUUAACUUAUUUAAAAAAAGGAGGAUGUGAAGUCCUCUGGUUCUCAAGUGUAAUUAUUGUUGCCGACAUGUUCCAGAUUAUAAUUAUUGGUUGUACAACUGUUACUGUAAUGAAUGUUAUUUUUAAUAUAAAAUAAAAAUGUUCAAGG
This is a long non-coding RNA of Amphiprion ocellaris (clown anemonefish), 1510 nucleotides long. The record is from Ensembl. NCBI's taxonomy places the organism in Eukaryota, Metazoa, Chordata, Actinopteri, Pomacentridae.